UGGGGAAUUUUGGACAAUGGGCGAAAGCCUGAUCCAGCAAUGCCGCGUGUGUGAAGAAGGCCUUCGGGUUGUAAAGCACUUUUGUCCGGAAAGAAAUCCUUGGCUCUAAUACAGUCGGGGGAUGACGGUACCGGAAGAAUAAGCACCGGCUAACUACGUGCCAGCAGCCGCGGUAAUACGUAGGGUGCAAGCGUUAAUCGAAUUACUGGGCGUAAAGCGUGCGCAGGCGGUUUGCUAAGACCGAUGUGAAAUCCCCGGGCUCAACCUGGGAACUGCAUUGGUGACUGGCAGGCUAGAGUAUGGCAGAGGGGGGUAGAAUUCCACGUGUAGCAGUGAAAGUGCGUAGAGAUGUGGAGGAAUACCGAUGGCGAAGGCAGCCCCUGGGCAAUACUGACGCUCAUGCACG
RNAcentral lists this ribosomal RNA (406 nucleotides) under uncultured bacterium. Its description in RNAcentral is "partial 16S ribosomal RNA". It matches the Rfam family "Bacterial small subunit ribosomal RNA", at positions 355 to 755 of the family's 1533-position model. The record is from RNAcentral.